GGUUUCUCUGUGUAUCUUUGGAGCCUAUCCUGGCACUCGCUCUGUAGACCAGGCUGGCCUUGAACUCAGAGAUUCGCCUGCCUCUGCCUCCCGAGUGCUGGGACUAAAGGCAUGCACCACCAAUGCCCG
Molecule: microRNA precursor, 129 nt
Filed under: Cricetulus griseus (Chinese hamster)
Lineage: Eukaryota; Metazoa; Chordata; Mammalia; Rodentia; Cricetidae
Description: miRNA (ENSCGRG00000021569.1, ENSCGRG00001002606.1)
Source: RNAcentral